RNAcentral lists this ribosomal RNA (672 nucleotides) under Bacillus subtilis. RNAcentral's name for it is "bacterial SSU rRNA". It matches the Rfam family "Bacterial small subunit ribosomal RNA", at positions 834 to 1507 of the family's 1533-position model. The record is from RNAcentral. Lineage: Bacteria; Bacillati; Bacillota; Bacilli; Caryophanales; Bacillaceae.
CGCGCAUGGCCGUAGUAGCCAACGCGAUAAACGGCUUCCCAUGCGAGUAUGUCCACAGGAUUGAACUCAAAGGACAUUCGGGGAGCCACCGCGAGCGGUCGAGCAUUCAGUUUUAAGUCGAAGCAACGGGAAGAUCCUUACCAGGUCUUAACAUCCUCUGACAAUCCUACAGAUAGGACGUCACCUUUGGGGGCAGAGUGACAGGUGGUGCAUGGUUGUCGUCAGCUCGUGUCGUGAGAUGUUGGGUUAAGUCCCGCAACGAGCGCAACCCUUGAUCUUAGUUGCCAGCAUUCAGUUGGGCACUCUAAGGUGACUGCCGGUGACAAACCGGAGGAAGGUGGGGAUGACGUCAAAUCAUCAUGCCCCUUAUGACCUGGGCUACACACGUGCUACAAUGGACAGAACAAAGGGCAGCGAAACCGCGAGGUUAAGCCAAUCCCACAAAUCUGUUCUCAGUUCGGAUCGCAGUCUGCAACUCGACUGCGUGAAGCUGGAAUCGCUAGUAAUCGCGGAUCAGCAUGCCGCGGUGAAUACGUUCCCGGGCCUUGUACACACCGCCCGUCACACCACGAGAGUUUGUAACACCCGAAGUCGGUGAGGUAACCUUUAUGGAGCCAGCCGCCGAAGGUGGGACAGAUGAUUGGGGUGAAGUCGUAACAAGUAGCCUAAGGU